This 265-nucleotide ribosomal RNA is filed under the name uncultured bacterium. RNAcentral's name for it is "partial 16S ribosomal RNA". It matches the Rfam family "Bacterial small subunit ribosomal RNA", at positions 334 to 596 of the family's 1533-position model. The record is from RNAcentral.
CUUGUCUACGGGGGGCAGCAGUGAGGAAUAUUGGUCAAUGGGCGCGAGCCUGAACCAGCCGAGUAGCGUGAAGGAUGACUGCCCUACGGGUUGUAAACUUCUUUUAUAAAGGAAUAAAGUGAGGCACGUGUGCCUUUUUGUAUGUACUUUAUGAAUAAGGAUCGGCUAACUUCGUGCCAGCAGCCGCGGUAAUACGGAGGAUCCGAGCGUUAUCCGGAUUUAUUGGGUUUAAAGGGUGCGUAGAUGGGUUGUUAAGUCAGUUGUG